RNAcentral lists this ribosomal RNA (2220 nucleotides) under Phytopseudomonas argentinensis. RNAcentral's name for it is "bacterial LSU rRNA". It matches the Rfam family "Bacterial large subunit ribosomal RNA", at positions 725 to 2925 of the family's 2925-position model. Lineage: Bacteria; Pseudomonadati; Pseudomonadota; Gammaproteobacteria; Pseudomonadales; Pseudomonadaceae. The record is from RNAcentral.
GCGAUCUAUCCAUGGGCAGGUUGAAGGUUAGGUAACACUGACUGGAGGACCGAACCGACUACCGUUGAAAAGUUAGCGGAUGACCUGUGGAUCGGAGUGAAAGGCUAAUCAAGCUCGGAGAUAGCUGGUUCUCCUCGAAAGCUAUUUAGGUAGCGCCUCGUGUAUCACUGCUGGGGGUAGAGCACUGUUUCGGCUAGGGGGUCAUCCCGACUUACCAAACCGAUGCAAACUCCGAAUACCAGCAAGUGUCAGCACGGGAGACACACGGCGGGUGCUAACGUCCGUCGUGAAAAGGGAAACAACCCAGACCGUCAGCUAAGGUCCCAAAGUUAUGGUUAAGUGGGAAACGAUGUGGGAAGGCUUAGACAGCUAGGAGGUUGGCUUAGAAGCAGCCACCCUUUAAAGAAAGCGUAAUAGCUCACUAGUCGAGUCGGCCUGCGCGGAAGAUGUAACGGGGCUCAAACCAUACACCGAAGCUACGGGUUCAACGUAAGUUGAGCGGUAGAGGAGCGUUCUGUAAGCCUGUGAAGGUGAGUUGAGAAGCUUGCUGGAGGUAUCAGAAGUGCGAAUGCUGACAUGAGUAACGACAAUGCGAGUGAAAAACUCGCACGCCGAAAGACCAAGGUUUCCUGCGCAACGUUAAUCGACGCAGGGUGAGUCGGCCCCUAAGGCGAGGCAGAAAUGCGUAGUCGAUGGGAAACGGGUUAAUAUUCCCGUACUUCUAAUUACUGCGAUGGAGGGACGGAGAAGGCUAGGCCAGCACGGCGUUGGUUGUCCGUGUUUAAGGUGGUAGGCUGAAUGCUUAGGUAAAUCCGGGCGUUCAAGGCCGAGAGCUGAUGACGAGUUGUCCUUUGGACGAUGAAGUGGUUGAUGCCAUGCUUCCAGGAAAAGCUUCUAAGCUUCAGGUAAUUAGGAACCGUACCCCAAACCGACACAGGUGGUUAGGUAGAGAAUACCAAGGCGCUUGAGAGAACUCGGGUGAAGGAACUAGGCAAAAUGGCACCGUAACUUCGGGAGAAGGUGCGCCGGUGAGUGUGAAGGGUUUACCCCGUAAGCACAUGCCGGUCGAAGAUACCAGGCCGCUGCGACUGUUUAUUAAAAACACAGCACUCUGCAAACACGAAAGUGGACGUAUAGGGUGUGACGCCUGCCCGGUGCCGGAAGGUUAAUUGAUGGGGUUAGCUAACGCGAAGCUCUUGAUCGAAGCCCCGGUAAACGGCGGCCGUAACUAUAACGGUCCUAAGGUAGCGAAAUUCCUUGUCGGGUAAGUUCCGACCUGCACGAAUGGCGUAACGAUGGCGGCGCUGUCUCCACCCGAGACUCAGUGAAAUUGAAAUCGCUGUGAAGAUGCAGUGUAUCCGCGGCUAGACGGAAAGACCCCGUGAACCUUUACUAUAGCUUUGCACUGGACUUUGAGCUUGCUUGUGUAGGAUAGGUGGGAGGCUUUGAAGUGGGGACGCCAGUUCUCAUGGAGCCAUCCUUGAAAUACCACCCUGGCAACCUUGAGGUUCUAACUCUGGUCCGUUAUCCGGAUCGAGGACAGUGUAUGGUGGGUAGUUUGACUGGGGCGGUCUCCUCCUAAAGAGUAACGGAGGAGUACGAAGGUGCGCUCAGACCGGUCGGAAAUCGGUCGUAGAGUAUAAAGGCAAAAGCGCGCUUGACUGCGAGACAGACACGUCGAGCAGGUACGAAAGUAGGUCUUAGUGAUCCGGUGGUUCUGUAUGGAAGGGCCAUCGCUCAACGGAUAAAAGGUACUCCGGGGAUAACAGGCUGAUACCGCCCAAGAGUUCAUAUCGACGGCGGUGUUUGGCACCUCGAUGUCGGCUCAUCACAUCCUGGGGCUGAAGCCGGUCCCAAGGGUAUGGCUGUUCGCCAUUUAAAGUGGUACGCGAGCUGGGUUUAGAACGUCGUGAGACAGUUCGGUCCCUAUCUGCCGUGGACGUUUGAGAUUUGAGAGGGGCUGCUCCUAGUACGAGAGGACCGGAGUGGACGAACCUCUGGUGUUCCGGUUGUCACGCCAGUGGCAUUGCCGGGUAGCUAUGUUCGGGAAAGAUAACCGCUGAAAGCAUCUAAGCGGGAAACUUGCCUCAAGAUGAGAUCUCACUGGAACCUCGAGUUCCCUAAAGGGCCGUCGAAGACUACGACGUUGAUAGGCUGGGUGUGUAAGCGUUGUGAGGCGUUGAGCUAACCAGUACUAAUUGCCCGUGAGGCUUGACCAUA